GACGAACGCUGGCGGCGUGCUUAACACAUGCAAGUCGAACGGAAAGGCCCUGCUUUUGUGGGGUGCUCGAGUGGCGAACGGGUGAGUAACACGUGAGUAACCUGCCCUUGACUUUGGGAUAACUUCAGGAAACUGGGGCUAAUACCGGAUAGGAGCUCCUGCUGCAUGGUGGGGGUUGGAAAGUUUCGGCGGUUGGGGAUGGACUCGCGGCUUAUCAGCUUGUUGGUGGGGUAGUGGCUUACCAAGGCUUUGACGGGUAGCCGGCCUGGGAGGGUGACCGGCCACAUUGGGACUGAGGGACGGCCCAGACUCCUACGGGAGGCAGGAGUGGGGAAUAUUGCGCAAUGGGCGGAAGCCUGAUGCAGCAACGCCGCGUGCGGGAUGACGGCCUUCGGGUUGUAAACCGCUUUCGCCUGUGACGAAGCGUGAGUGACGGUAAUGGGUAAAGAAGCACCGGCUAACUACGUG
RNAcentral lists this ribosomal RNA (468 nucleotides) under uncultured bacterium. RNAcentral's name for it is "partial 16S ribosomal RNA". It matches the Rfam family "Bacterial small subunit ribosomal RNA", at positions 28 to 507 of the family's 1533-position model. The record is from RNAcentral.